AUUGAACGCUGGCGGCAUGCCUUACACAUGCAAGUCGAACGGAUAAAGGCCGCUAGGUGCUGGCGAGAGGGGCACGGGGGAGUAAAAUACCUGGAAGUGUCCCGGCGAGGGGGGGAUAACAUCCGGAAAGGAGCGCAAAUCCCGCACGCGUUAUGGGUGAAAGCGGGGGGGCGCUACGGACCGCGCGCUUGGAGAGGCCCCUAGGUCGGAUUAGGUAGUUGGUGGGGUAAAGGCUCACCAAGCCAACCAUCUGUAACUGGUCUGAGAGGACGACCCGCCACACUGGGACUGAGACACGGCCCAGACUCCUACGGGAGGCAGCAGUGGGGAAUUUUGGACAAUGGGCGCAAGCCUGAUCCAGCAAUGCCGCGUGCAGGAAGAAGGCCUUCGGGUUGUAAACUGCUUUUGUACGGAACGAAACGGCUCUGGUUAAUACCCGGGGCUAAUGACGGUACCGUAAGAAUAAGCACCGGCUAACUACGUG
RNAcentral lists this ribosomal RNA (484 nucleotides) under uncultured bacterium. RNAcentral describes it as "partial 16S ribosomal RNA". It matches the Rfam family "Bacterial small subunit ribosomal RNA", at positions 29 to 507 of the family's 1533-position model. The record is from RNAcentral.